Molecule: non-coding RNA, 45 nt
Filed under: Trichobilharzia regenti
Lineage: Eukaryota; Metazoa; Platyhelminthes; Trematoda; Strigeidida; Schistosomatidae
Source: RNAcentral
ACCCGGAUGACGAGUCCCAAAUAAGAUGAAAUGUGCAUCCUGGAU